GAUAUUUUGUGAUUCUUUUUUAUGUCUGUUGCUCUAAGACACAUAAAUGAACACAUUCUUAAAGAAAAAUAAUAUCUUUAAAGUGCCAGAGGUGCCCAAAAAGGUCCUCCCAGAAGAAAAGAAGCCAACACCUAUUCGGAAAAAAGUGGAGCCUCCCCCACCCAAAGGUACAUUAAUCUCUAACAAACCCAAAACAAAAAGGCUAACUAACUGGCAUUCUACAGCCUCACUAAUUAUAGUGACUUAUGUGGGUAACAGUUGAUGCUUUUUGACUACAGAAUAUUAGCUUUUCAUGUUGUCCCACUGUUUUGAAUAUUGUACAUAAAAGUGAUGCUUGUCCAAUUGACAAAUAUCUUUAAAGUGCCAAAGAAACGUGAGCCAGUUCCAGUUCCAAUUCCUGCAGCUCUCCUCCGGGAAGAGAAAGUUGUACAUAAAGAAGAAAUUGUUGUUGAAGAGGAAUUUAUCCAUGAGGAAGAAGAAGUUAUCCUCGAGGAAGAAGUUCUGCCAGAGGAAGAGGAAAUUUCACCCGAGGAAGAAGUUCCGCUAGAGGAGGAGGAGGAGGAGGUUCUCCCAGAGGAAGAGGAAGUUCCUCCUGAAGAAGAGGAAGUUCCUCCUGAAGAAGAGGAAGUUCCUCCUGAGGAGGAAGAAUUUGUACCUGAGGAAGAAGUGGUACCCGAAAAAGAAGAAGUUCUUCCAGAAAUUAAGCCUAAAGUGCCAGUACCUGCACGAGUGCCUGAAGUGCCAAAGAAACCAGUACCAGAGAAGAAAGUCCCUGUUCCAGCUCCUAAAAAAGUGGAACCUCCACCGCCUAAAGUGCCUGAGGUUAAGAAGAAAGUGCCAGAGAAGAAAGUGAUCAUUCCCAAGAAAGAGGAGGUUCCUCCUGCCAAAGGUACUGCUCUUCCCAAGCAAAUUAGACACUGCCAUUUCUUUCUUCACCUGUAAAUGCCAGAAUGGCCCAUUUCCCAGUAUUGGUUAACAUAACUUACAAUAUUGUGGUGUCCAUUGUCUCUGUGUUCAUGAAACUGAACUUACAAAAUAAUAUCUUUGAAGUGCCCGUGGUGCCUAAGAAACCUGAACCAGAAAAGAAGGCGCCUCCACCCGGUCUUAAGAAAGCAGUGCCUCCUCCUGCCAAAGGUACAUCACUCCCAACAGGGAUGUGUUUGCGCCCCUCCACUGUGGAACUGUGAUGCUCUUCACAUAGGGAUGGAUGUUCCACAUAAGCGUUUGCUCUGUGUGCUCUGUUCUGUAGCCAUCACUUGAAACUCUGCUGCACCCAUAUUUGUUCUAUGUCAGUUCUUCUACUCUGUUUCCGUAUUUUAUGUUGAUCUGUCCAUGUAUGUUGUUUGUAAAAUAAAAAUAAAAAUACUAAACA
RNAcentral lists this long non-coding RNA (1372 nucleotides) under Bos mutus (wild yak). Its description in RNAcentral is "lncRNA (ENSBMUG00000010907.1)". Lineage: Eukaryota; Metazoa; Chordata; Mammalia; Artiodactyla; Bovidae. The record is from RNAcentral.